CCCCUAGUAAAAAAGNNANNANACCAACAUNAGACCAGAAGACCCUGUGAAGCUUAAACUAAACUAUUAAACCAUAUAAUAACUACUUUCGGUUGGGGCGACCUUGGAAAAAAAAAGAACUUCCAAAUAUAUGACCUUCAUCAUACUGAACGGCACACAAGCCAACAAACGACCCAGCACAGCUGACCAAUGAACCAAGUUACUCCAGGGAUAACAGCGCAAUCCUCUUCAAGAGCCCAUAUCAAAAAGAGGGUUUACGACCUCGAUGUUGGAUCAGGACAUCCUAAUGGUGCAGUCGCUAUUAAGGGUUCGUUCGUUCAACGAUUAACAGUCCUACGUGAUCU
This 344-nucleotide ribosomal RNA is filed under the name Crotaphopeltis hotamboeia. Its description in RNAcentral is "partial 16S ribosomal RNA". It matches the Rfam family "Bacterial large subunit ribosomal RNA", at positions 2076 to 2606 of the family's 2925-position model. The record is from RNAcentral. Lineage: Eukaryota; Metazoa; Chordata; Lepidosauria; Squamata; Colubridae.